RNAcentral lists this ribosomal RNA (466 nucleotides) under uncultured bacterium. RNAcentral's name for it is "bacterial SSU rRNA". It matches the Rfam family "Bacterial small subunit ribosomal RNA", at positions 917 to 1382 of the family's 1533-position model. The record is from RNAcentral.
GGGCCCGCACAAGCGGUGGAGCAUGUGGUUCAAUUCGAAGCAACGCGAAGAACCUUACCUGGGUUUGAAGAUCAGUCGAACGGGUGCGAAAUCACCCUUUCCCGCAAGGGACGGCUGGUUAGGUGCUGCAUGGCUGUCGUCAGCUCGUGUCGUGAGAUGUUGGGUUAAGUCCCGCAACGAGCGCAACCCUUGCUGCUAGUUGCCAACGGUUCGGCCGGGCACUCUAGUGGGACUGCCGGUGACAAACCGGAGGAAGGUGGGGAUGACGUCAAGUCCUCAUGGCCUUUAUGUCCAGGGCUACACACGUGCUACAAUGGCCGGUACAAAGUGACGCGAUAGCGCAAGCUGGAGCAAAUCACAAAAAGCCGGUCUCAGUUCGGAUUGGAGUCUGCAACUCGACUCCAUGAAGCUGGAAUCGCUAGUAAUCGCGGAUCAGCACGCCGCGGUGAAUACGUUCCCGGGCCUU